CUAUGAUCUUCUCUGGAACACGGCAACACAAUCUUGUGAGGAGCUAUCCCAAAUCCAUUUCUCAUUUGCCAUGCUAGUUCCAGUGAGGCAUCAGCUUCAGGAAAAUUGGCACAUAAUGGAUGCUCAUAUCACAUGGAACAAAUCACUUAUUUUCACUGACCAGGAACUGUAUCCAGAAAGAGAGAAAGGCAUGCCAAAUCUAAUCGAUUAUACUUUUUGCCUGGUAAAUAAGGCAGCAUCCUGCCCAGAGUUCCUCUCCUCUAGAGGUUCUCUUCAUCAAGUUACUGAUCAGCACAGCACAUACUGGGCAACCAGAACAGAUGCUGGCAAUUUGACCAUACAAGUACGUACCAGAUGAAUACCAGCCAUGAUCACAUCACCAAAUGCAUUCCAGGUAUAAAAAUUUUAUGGAUAAUGGAGGCAUAAAUCCAAUAAAAUGUCAAAGGUCUUAUAUCUGAAAUCAGGUUUUACUUAUCACUUGCACUUUAUUAAUGCAUUCAAUACCUUUAUUGUUUUUCUAAUACAUGAAACAUGCAUUAUUCAAAAAUAAUCAAAUAAAAAGAAAAAUAAAAUAAUAGUAAAAUAUCAC
RNAcentral lists this long non-coding RNA (589 nucleotides) under Canis lupus familiaris (dog). RNAcentral describes it as "lncRNA (ENSCAFG00845029407.1)". The record is from RNAcentral. Lineage: Eukaryota; Metazoa; Chordata; Mammalia; Carnivora; Canidae.